Molecule: small RNA, 949 nt
Filed under: Pan troglodytes (chimpanzee)
Lineage: Eukaryota; Metazoa; Chordata; Mammalia; Primates; Hominidae
Description: processed transcript
Source: RNAcentral
GGCGGUUAGUCCUCUCCCGGCCGCCGUCGCCUCCGACAUAUUGCCCGCAGGAGCUGCGGCGGCGAAGCGGAGAGCACCGGGGGAGGAGAUGGGAGGACGAAGAGGUCCCAACAGGACAUCUUACUGUCGAAAUCCGCUCUGUGAGCCGGGAUCCUCGGGGGGCUCUAGUGGAAGCCACACUUCCAGUGCAUCGGUGACCAGUGUUCGUUCCCGCACCAGCACUGCAAGAUCCCCGAGCUGCCAGUCCAGGCCAGCAUUCUGUUUGAGUUGCAGCUCUUCUUCUGCCAGCUCAUAGCACUCUUCGUCCACUACAUCAACAUCUACAAGACAGUGUGGUGGUAUCCACCUUCCCACCCACCCUCCCACACCUCCCUGAACUUCCAUCUGAUCGACUUCAACUUGCUGAUGGUGACCACCAUCGUUCUGGGCCGCCGCUUCAUUGGGUCCAUCGUGAAGGAGGCCUCUCAGAGGGGGAAGGUCUCCCUCUUUCGCUCCAUCCUGCUGUUCCUCACUCGCUUCACCGUUCUCACGGCAACAGGCUGGAGUCUGUGCCGAUCCCUCAUCCACCUCUUCAGGACCUACUCCUUCCUGAACCUCCUGUUCCUCUGCUAUCCGUUUGGGAUGUACAUUCCUUUCCUGCAGCUGAAUUGCGACCUCCGCAAGACAAGCCUCUUCAACCACAUGGCCUCCAUGGGGCCCCGGGAGGCGGUCAGUGGCCUGGCAAAGAGCCGGGACUACCUCCUGACACUGCGGGAGACGUGGAAGCAGCACACAAGACAGCUGUAUGGCCCGGACGCCAUGCCCACCCAUGCCUGCUGCCUGUCGCCCAGCCUCAUCCGCAGUGAGGUGGAGUUCCUCAAGAUGGACUUCAACUGGCGCAUGAAGGAAGUGCUCGUCAGCUCCAUGCUGAGCGCCUACUAUGUGGCCUUUGUGCCUGUCUGGUUCGUGA